UACGGAGGAUGCGAGCGUUAUCCGGAUUUAUUGGGUUUAAAGGGUGCGUAGGCGGACUGUCAAGUCAGCGGUAAAAUUGAGAGGCUCAACCUCUUCCCGCCGUUGAAACUGGUGGUCUUGAGUGGAUGAGAAGUACGCGGAAUGCGUGGUGUAGCGGUGAAAUGCAUAGAUAUCACGCAGAACUCCGAUUGUGAAGGCAGCGUACCGGCAUCCAACUGACGCUGAGGCACGAAAGCGUGGGGAUCAAACAGG
Molecule: ribosomal RNA, 252 nt
Filed under: uncultured bacterium
Lineage: Bacteria
Description: partial 16S ribosomal RNA
Rfam family: Bacterial small subunit ribosomal RNA
Source: RNAcentral